RNAcentral lists this long non-coding RNA (2682 nucleotides) under Nicotiana benthamiana. RNAcentral describes it as "long non-coding RNA (NBEN_LNC014772)". Lineage: Eukaryota; Viridiplantae; Streptophyta; Magnoliopsida; Solanales; Solanaceae. The record is from RNAcentral.
CCCUCCCUUCCCCCGCCAAUUUUACCCUAAUUCCCAAACUUUUUCUCACUUCAGUUUAGCGCUAAUUCACAAAUUACUCAAAUCACCUAAAUUCUUUUGAAUAUCUACCAUUUUUUGAAAGAUGGGAAGCAAAAAUGGUGGAUAUGGCUGACAAUAGCAGUGUCGUUAAUGAUAUUGGUUUUCCACGGUGACAUUGUUACUUUAUUUCUUUUGGUUAUUUUUUUGGUUGAAAUUUGAUCUAAUAAUAGAUAAAUGAUGUUGUAGGCUAUGGCGUGGAUGGCAGUUGAUUCAUGACUGAAGUUUCACUUCUUUUCUUUCUUCCAUAUUGAAUUUCGUCACUGAUUAACGGUGCAAAAGGUACCAACUUUCUUAUAUUUUUGGGUUUCAUUUUCUAUGGUAAGAUAUGGCCGAUCCCCUGCUACACUUGUUAUUGGUUUCAUCUUUUAGAGUUAAAUGUAAAGAUUGGGAAAUUUCUUCAGAGUUCUAUUCUGUGUUCUUUUUCAUCACUAUGUGAUUGAAUUCUAUUCAUCUAUUUGUUUUCAUCUUAUGCAAUUGAAUUCUUUUUACUUCAUCUUUAGGUAGAGAUGUCAAUGGAAUGUAUUAAUGAUUCUUUUGAACAAAGCUCUUCGAUUACACAAAAACGAACAAAAAGACAAAUGCCUAUUGUUUGGGAUUCUUUUGUUAAGGUAAUAGAGCGUAGUAUUUAUAAUGAUGGAAAGAUUAAAGUCAAAUGUACGCUUUGUGAAAAAGACUAUAUAUACGAUUCUAAAUUUGGAACAUCAAAUUUGAAGCGUCAUUUGGUUUUGAAACAUCCAUUGGAUAAUACAAAAGAGGGACAAAGUGCACCAAUAGAUCAAAAAAUUUAUCAGGAGAAAAUGUCAUCGGCCAUAGUCAGGCAUAACUAUGCUUUCAAUUUUGUUGUACAUAAAGGCAUCAAGAACCUUCAUUUAUACUUAAAUCCGGUUGUCAAGCACAUAUCAAGAAACACAACCAAGCAAGAUAUCUUAAAUAUGUAUGCAGGGGAAAAAGAACUUUGGAAAAGUGAGCUUGCAGUUAUUCCUAGUAGAGUAUGUUUAACACCAGACAUGUGAACUUGAGUAGCAUCUAAUGGGUAUAUGUGCGUUACGGCCCAUUAUGUAGAUUUAAAUUGGGUUCUUCAGAAGGGAGUGUUGAUUUUUCAUCAUGUUCCUCCUCUACAUUCGGGCGCGGUUUUAGGUCCCUUAUUGAUUAGCUUUCUUAAAGAACGGGGAAUCGAAAAGAAAAUCUUUACCCUUACUUUUGAUAAUGCUACUUGCAAUAAUGGUGUAGUGAAUAAUUUAAAAAAUCAUUUAUCUUUGAUGCGUUCACUAGUUUGCGAGGGAAAGUAUCUUCAUGUCCAUUGUGGGAAUUAUAUUCUGAACUUAAUUGUUAAGACGGGCUUAGAGAAGGCUGAUGCAGCUAUUACAAAAAUUAGAGAAGGUGUUAAGUAUAUCAAGAAUUCAGAAACAAGAAUAAUGAAAUUUGUGGAGUGUUUGAGUAAUCUUGUUCUACCAUGUUCUAAGAAGCUAUGCCAAUGCUGAGACAAAGCUAUGUACUAUGAAUUAGGUUUGUGGAAGAAAAGGUAAAUUAAUCUUCUUGAUUUAUUUUAAAUCAACCAUGUUCUAAGAAGCUACACCAAGAUAUGCCUAUUCGGUGGAAUUCCACUGUAUGGUUAGGUCAUUUAUUUUCUCCAGGAUUUAGUCUAUACUGUUGUGCAAUGGUUUCAUCUGUGGGAUAUACAUUAGAUAAUCUAUCCUGAUAUCAUGGUAAUCCUAGACUAAACAAGGCUAAAGUAACAUAUUUGCUUUUCCUUGUUUUCUUGAUUAGGAGAAAUAAUCAAAUAUCUUUUCCCUGUUUUCUCUAUUGGUUUUUCUAAAACUUAACAAGUCAGAUAUAAUCAGUUCAAGACUAGUUUCCCCCUAAUGGUUUGGUGAAUUGAUUGAUGCACAUGGCGACCGUUUGAAUAUCAUGUUCAGAAUUUGCUAUUUGAGGUUUCAAGUUUCCCAAACAAAUCUCCAUAAUAGCGCGAACCAUAUUAGGGAAAACAUGAUAUUAAGGGUGAUGCUUAUUGCUAGUUCUUGUUUGAUGGUAAUAUCUGAUAUUGAAGCUAUCCUUCAAAAAUUUUAGGUACUAUUUGUGGUCAGCUUCAUGGAUUCUCCAGUCUAUUGUAUCAUCAUUUAAGGGUUCCUCUGUUUUUGCCGACGAGAAGCAAAGCAAUGUUUUGUGAAACUGCAGAUUAUGUUGGAUGAACACUCAGGUACAUGGUCAGACAUGAUAUUCUUGGUCAAAGUUCUGCUUUCUGCCACAAGUUGCAUCGGCUACCACAACAUUUUUAUCGUCUUCAAAUGACUGUUGUCAACUGGAUACACUAUUACAAUGUCCUAAGGGUCUACUUUUGUGCAUUUUGCUUUGUAAACACUUUAUAAGUAUUUUGCCGGUGGUUAAAAUAUAUUCUGUUGGUACAUUUUGACGUAUUUUGCUGGUGUAUUUCAAUGUAUGUUGCUCAUUUGCUGCUAUAUCUAGUGACGAAAGAAAGAGUUUGAUUUACUGAUUUUGUUGUAGUUAUAAAAUGUGAACCAUUACAAAUUGUUGGGAAAGUAUUUUAAUUUUUAGCAAAUGCAGCUUUAUGACUUUUGUUAAUGAAAUCUUGGAUCCUUUUUGUUC